Molecule: long non-coding RNA, 315 nt
Filed under: Helianthus annuus (common sunflower)
Lineage: Eukaryota; Viridiplantae; Streptophyta; Magnoliopsida; Asterales; Asteraceae
Description: hypothetical non coding rna
Rfam family: Small nucleolar RNA snoR74 (bases 184-315)
Source: RNAcentral
UAAUGAAGGAAGCAUGGUAAUGUGCACGGAGAUUGAGCAACUUUUAGGUCGUCAUGUCUGCUCCCUCUGAUUUUUUCUGAUUUGGGGGCCUGGAUUAGACCUACACUUCCUUUUUUAUUAUUUGUUUAAAAUAAUUGGUUGAAUUUUAACAAAAUUGAAUAUAAUAAUAUAAGAACCUGAUGUAUAAAAGCAGGGAUCGAUUGCCUUGUGAAUCGGUCUCCCGUAAACGUCAGGAAUAUAGAGUGGGCAUCGUUAUUGGGUGAACCUCUUGAUUUUUUUCAUGACGGACAAGGUUCAGUAAACGAAGCUAUAUUU